AGAGUUUGAUCCUGGCUCAGGAUGAACGCUGGCGGCGUGCCUAAUACAUGUAAGUCGAACGGAAGAUGUAGCAAUAUGUCUUUAGUGGCGAACGGGUGAGUAACGCGUUGGUGACCUGCCCCGAAGAGAGGGAUAACAGACCGAAAGGUUUGCUAAUACCGCGUAAUUUCCUUCUAGUUAGAGAGGAGGGAAGAAAGGCCGAAAGGCGCUUUGGGAGGGGCCUGCGUCCCAUCAGCUAGUUGGCGAGGUAAAAGCUCACCAAGGCGAUGACGGGUAGGGGACCUGAGAGGGUGACCCCCCACAAUGGAACUGAAACACGGUCCAUACACCUACGGGUGGCAGCAGUAGGGAAUAUUGGUUAAUGGGCGAAAGCCCGACCCAGCAACGCCGCGUGCACGAAGGAGGCCUUCGGGUUGUAAAGUGCUUUUUAGUGGGAUGAGGAAGGACAGUACCACUAGAAUAAGUCUCGGCUAACUACGUGCCAGCAGCCGCGGUAACACGUAGGAGACGAGCGUUAUCCGGAUUUACUGGGUGUAAAGCGCGUGCAGGCGGUCGGGUAAGUUGGAUGUGAAAGCUCCUGGCUUAACUGGGAGAGGUCGUUCAAAACUGCCGGGCUAGAGUGCAACAGAGGGGAGUGGAAUUCCGAGUGUAGCGGUAAAAUGCAUAGAUAUUCGGAAGAACACCAGUGGCGAAGGCGGCUCUCUGGGUUGCAACUGACGCUCAGACGCGAAAGCUAGGGUAGCGAACGGGAUUAGAGACCCCGGUAGUCCUAGCCGUAAACGAUGUGGACUUGGCGUGGGUGGGUUGAAAUCCAUCUGUGCCGAAGCACACGCGAUAAGUCCACCACCUGGGGACUACGGGCCGCAAGGUUAAAACUCAAAGGAAUUG
Molecule: ribosomal RNA, 888 nt
Filed under: uncultured bacterium
Lineage: Bacteria
Description: bacterial SSU rRNA
Rfam family: Bacterial small subunit ribosomal RNA
Source: RNAcentral